GAUGAAGAACGUAGCGAAAUGCGAUAAGUAGUGUGAAUUGCAGAAUUCAGUGAAUCAUCGAAUCUUUGAACGCACAUUGCACCCCUUGGUAUUCCAUGGGGCAUGCCUGUUCGAGCGUCAUUUGUACCUUCAAGCUUUGCUUGGUGUUGGGUGUUUGUCUCGCCUUUGCGUGUAGACUCGCCUUAAAACAAUUGGCAGCCGGCGUAUUGAUUUCGGAGCGCAGUACAUCUCGCGCUUUGCACUCAUAACGACGACGUCCAAAAGUACAUUUUUACACUCUUGACCUCGGAUCAGGUAGGGAUACCCGCUGAACUUAAGCAUAUCAAUAAGCGGAGGA
This 337-nucleotide unclassified non-coding RNA is filed under the name soil metagenome. RNAcentral's name for it is "partial contains 5.8S ribosomal RNA, internal transcribed spacer 2, and large subunit ribosomal RNA". The stretch from base 1 to 120 matches the Rfam family "5.8S ribosomal RNA", at positions 35 to 154 of the family's 154-position model. The record is from RNAcentral.